AACGCACAUUGCGCCCCUCGGUAUUCCGUGGGGCAUGCCUGUUCGAGCGUCAUUUACACCCUCAAGCUCUGCUUGGUGUUGGGCGUCUGUCCCGCGGCUUCGCGUGGACUCGCCUCAAAGUAAUUGGCAGCGGUCUUGCCAGCUUCUUGCGCAGCACAUUGCGCUCCCAGGGGCUCUGGCGGAUCGGCGUCCAUCAAGCUAUUUCAUGACUUGACCUCGGAUCAGGUAGGGAUACCCGCUGAACUUAA
RNAcentral lists this unclassified non-coding RNA (248 nucleotides) under uncultured fungus. Its description in RNAcentral is "partial contains 5.8S ribosomal RNA, internal transcribed spacer 2, and large subunit ribosomal RNA". Lineage: Eukaryota; Fungi. The record is from RNAcentral.